AUGGACGCGGCCAUAUCCGCCGCCCACGAAGCGCCGCCCGCUGUCGUCCUCGUCUCCGCCGGCGCCAGCCACUCCGUCGCCCUCCUCGCGGGCAAUGUGCUGUGCACGUGGGGCAGGGGAGAGGACGGGCAGCUCGGCCACGGGGACGCCGAGGACCGGCUCGUGCCGACGGUGAUCAGCGGCUUCGACGCGCCGGGGAUCACGUCCGUCAUCUGCGGGGCGGACCACACCACCGCCUACUCCGAGGACGAGCACCAGGUCUACAGCUGGGGGUGGGGGGAUUUCGGGAGGCUGGGGCAUGGCAACUCCACCGACGUGUUCACGCCCCAGCCGGUCAAGGCGCUGCAGGGGAUAAAGAUCAAGCAGCUAGCCUGUGGGGAUAGCCACUGUCUGGCCGUCACCAUGGCCGGCGAAGUGCUCAGCUGGGGGCGUAACCAAAAUGGCCAGCUUGGUCUUGGAACUACUGAAGAUUCGCUGCUCCCACAAACGAUUCAAGCUUUUGUGGGUAUUUCUGUGAAGAUGAUUGCUGCUGGUGCUGAACAUACUGCUGCAGUAACUGAAGAUGGCGAAAUCUACGGAUGGGGCUGGGGUCGAUACGGAAACUUGGGUCUUGGUGAUCGGAAUGACCGAUUUGUUCCUGAAAAAGUAUCUUCAGUGGAGGGAGAGAAGAUGGUGCUUGUUGCAUGCGGAUGGCGCCAUACCAUUACUGUUUCCUCCUCUGGUAGUUUGUACACUUACGGUUGGAGCAAAUAUGGUCAGCUUGGGCAUGGCGAUUUUGAAGAUCAUCUAGUUCCACAUAAAGUGGAAGCCUUGAAGGAUAGCUCUACAUCCCAGAUUUCAGGUGGAUGGAGGCAUACAAUGGCACUUACAUCAGAUGGAAAGCUUUAUGGAUGGGGAUGGAACAAGUUUGGGCAAGUUGGAGCUGGCGAUAAUGCCGAUCACUGUUCCCCCGCACAGGUUAAUUUUCCCGAGGAACAGAAAGUUGCCCAAGUUGCUUGUGGAUGGAGGCACACUCUUGCUUUCACAGAAAAGAAAAAUGUGUUUGCAUGGGGAAGGGGUACUAGUGGACAACUCGGUCAUGGGGAAAUAGUUGACAGGAACACGCCUGUGAUGAUUGAUGCCCUAAGCCCGGACGGUCCUGGCUGCAAGAAGUUGGAGUCUUCAGCAGCUAUUCCCUUUGCAGCUAAAAUUUGGGUGUCACCCUCUGAAAGAUAUGCUCUUGUUCCUGAUGAGAAGGUUGCCAAACCAGGCGAUGUCAGCGCACGUGGCAAUGGUGCGGAUGCGAGUGUGCCCGAGAACGAUGUAAAGAGGAUGCGCGUGUCAUCCUAG
RNAcentral lists this ribosomal RNA (1329 nucleotides) under Triticum aestivum (bread wheat). RNAcentral's name for it is "partial small subunit ribosomal RNA". Lineage: Eukaryota; Viridiplantae; Streptophyta; Magnoliopsida; Poales; Poaceae. The record is from RNAcentral.